RNAcentral lists this long non-coding RNA (6170 nucleotides) under Sus scrofa (pig). Its description in RNAcentral is "lncRNA (ENSSSCG00025016097.1)". The record is from RNAcentral. Lineage: Eukaryota; Metazoa; Chordata; Mammalia; Artiodactyla; Suidae.
CUUACUAGAGGUUUAAAUUUGUUCUCUAUUGUCUAACCUUAUUUACAAUGGGAAUAUAAAUCACUGAUUUUUAGAACUUCUUUCCCAACUAAUUAAAAAAACUAUUUUUUUUCUUUACUCACGCACAUUUGAUAGCAAAUGUGUGAGUUUUCCACUCACAUUCAGCAAUACAGCAACUCUCCAGAGUGUUCAACAGGGUGUCCAAAAAAUUCACUUAUGGCACUAUCCACAUGGAGUUAGAACAGAACCCCCAGGUUAGGGACUCACUUCAGACACAGUUGUAAGUCCCAGGUUAUGAUCUGUACUUACUUCUGCUCAACUAAAAACUGUGCAUUCCUACAACCUCCUCCUCAGGUUCAACAAUUUGCUAGACUGGCUCAGAGAACUUAGGAAAGCACUUAAUUGACUGAUAGUUUAUUAUAGAGGCUACAACUCAAGAACAGCCAAAUGGAAAAGAACCAAAGGGUGAGGUAUGGGGAUGGGGUUGGAAUACAUAGUUUCCAUGCUCUCCAGGUGUGCCACCCUCUUAGAACCUUAAGGUGUUCACCAACCUGGAUAAUGUACAAACCCGUCAUUAGAGUUUUUAUGAAGGCUUCAUCAUGCGGCAAGAUUGAUGAAACCACUGGCUGUUGGUGACAAAGUUAAUCUCUAGCCCCUGGACUCUGGAGAUCAGUGAGUGUGGCUGGAAGCUCCAAAGAUCUAGUCACAUGGUUGGUUCCUCUGGCAGCGAGCCACAUCCUGAACCUAUCUAUCUAGGGACUUUAGCAGUCAUCUCAUUAGCAUACAAAGAAACACCUUCAUCGCUCUAGAGAUUCCAAAGGGCUUAGAAGCUUUUAUGUCGGGAACUGGGGAGUAACACCAAAUAUUAUAGCAAAAAAGGUUUCUAUCACUCUAUUAUUCAAGAAAUACAAGGAUUUUAAGAACUCUGUGUCAGGAACUGGGGGUAGAGACUAAAUUUAUACUCUGUAGAUAUAUACCAAAUAUAAACAUAUACACACACCCCCCACUGAUCCUUGAACAACAUGGGUUUGAAAUGCAAGGGUCCACUUACACAUUUUUUUUAAUAUAACGAUUUUUUUUUCCAUAUAGCUGGUUUACAGUGUUCUGUCAACUUUCUACUGUACAGUACUUACACAUUUUUUUCAAUAAAUAUGUACUACAAUAUUACACAAUGCCCAGCUGGUUGCGUUUGAGGAUACAGAAUUGUAGAUACAGAGGGCUGACUGUAAAGUUAUACUCAGAUUUUCCACUAUGAGGAGGAGUGGUACUCCAAUCCUCAAGGUGUCCAAGAGUCGAUUGUGUAUAAAUAUAAUCAAGAUUUAUGGCCCAACAUGUUAUCCAUUUCGGAGAACACAUCAUGCGUAUUUGAAUGAAAUAUGUAACCUGUAGUCGUUGGGUAGAGUGCUCUAUAAGUAUCAUCUAUGUUAAAGUUGUCAAUAUGAGGAUCAGCUCUUCUAUCUAUUUUGAUGUUAUGCUGUACCCUGCAAUAUUGGUUGCUAGAAGAAUGGUGUUAAAAUUUCUAACUUGGUAGAACUACGUAUUUUUUCCCUUUAGCACAAAUAAAUUGCAUUAUCAGAGAUAAAAGAAGAAAUGCAUUUUGAAGCUCUGUUAAUAGAUGUGUAUGUGUUUAUUAUUGUUACGUAGUCUUGAAGAAUUGACCUAUGUCAUUAGGAAAUGCUUCUAUCUCAUGCAACACUUUGUUCUUGAAAUUUAUGUCUUGAGCUUUUUUCUCUUUCCUGUUUGUAGAUACAUUUUGAAUCUAUUUACUUUACUCUAUGUCCUCUUAUUUGAAAUAAGAGCAUCUUUUAUAGGUAUGUGUGGUAUUUGAAGUACAUGACUGUCUAGACAGCAUAUAAUUACAUCUGACUUCUCUUUCAAACUAUUUUGAUAAUUUCCUCAUUUAAUUAGAAUAUUUAUCCCAAUAUUUAAUUUGUAUAUGAUUAGGUCUAUGUUUUUCUCAAUCCUAUUUAUAAAAUGUCUUACCUUUCUUGUCUUUUUUGGAUUAUGUGAAUUUUUUUUAGAAUUCUAUUUUUUAUACACACAAACUUGAAGCAUCAAGAAAAUUUAGUAUGUUUGCAUAUAUUUUAUAUACAUGUAUAUCAAUGAUUUUUCAACCACAAGUGACUUUGGUGUCCAGCGAACAUUUAAUAACCUGUGCAUUUUUGGCUAUCACAAACAGGGCAGAGGGGUUGCUACUGGACCAUAGAGGCCAAGGAUGCUAAAUAUUCUACAACACUUGGGAUAGCUCCCCACAAUGAAGACUUAUCCCCAAAUGUCAAUAGUACUGAAGUUGAGAAAUCGUGCUUUAGGGAUUAUAACAUAAAUUCUUACAUUUCCACAGUCACCCUAUAGUUAGUAUUGGACCAUUUUACAAAUUAGAAACCUUAAAACUAUACAGAAACAUUUCAUCACUGCUCAUUUUCCUUUACUCUAAGGCUGUUAUGUGUUGUGUUAUAUGCCUAUAUUACAUCUAUAUAGGUUAUAAACAUAAAUGCAAUGUUUUAAUUUUCCUUUAAACAACCACCUACAUUAUAAAGAAUUUUUUAAAAAUAAAGCAAUCUUUUUUUAUUUACCCAUAUAUUUAUUGUUUCUGAUAUAUCACUUCUGGUGCCCUAUGGUAUUAAUUCUGUUUAGCCUGGAAAAAUUCUUUAAAAAAAAAUUUUUUUUUUUCAUUGUAAGUCUGCCAAUAAGGAAUACCGGUCUUUCUUUUUUCCUUCACCAUUUUAGAAAUGCUGUUCUGCGCUCUUCUGGCUCUAACAUCUCCGAAGAAAAGUCAGCUUCUUCAUCAAAUUUAGGAAAAUACUGGCUAUUAUUUCUUCAAAUAUUUUUUCUGCUCCAUUAUUUUUCCCCUCUAUUUCUGGAACUCCAAGUACACGUAGUUAAACCACUCAAUAUUAUCUAGCAGAUCUCUGAAGUUCUAUUCAUUUUUAUUUCAGUCUGUACUUUAUAUUAAAUAAUUCUUACUAAUGCACCUUUAAAUUCCCUCAGUUUUUCCUUUGUCAGCUCUAUUUGGCUAUUAGUCCAUUAAGAGUAUCUUUUUUCAUGUAUUGCACUUUUCAGUUCUGGAAUUUCCAUUAGUUCUUUAUCCUCUUUAUUUUUCUGUGCAGACUUUAUCUCUUCAUUCACUUUGAAUAUAUUGUAUUUACUUCACAUCAGGUGGUCAUGAUAGCUGUUUUAAGUACUGUCUGUUACCUCCAACAUCUGCGCCAUCUUGAUCUUUAUUUCAGUUAAUGGUCUCUUCUCAUGAGACUACACUUCAUUGUCCUUAUUAUUUGUAUGUCAUGUAAUUUUGGAUUAUAUUCUUGACAUUAUAAAUACUAAGACAGAGACUCCGAUGAGUGUUGUUCCUUUUACUUUAGCAUACAAACAUGUUGCCUCAAUGCAGAACUGCAAACGUUUAUUUUUGGAUGAUAGCUAUGGUCCUGAUCCAGUCGAAAUGCUUUGAAUCAGUUCUUUGUAUACGUGAAUCAGAUAUGAAGAGACAGAAUGCAGGAAUCUGGCUUUAGCCCUUUGCCUUCAAGGAUUUCACCUUAUUUCUGCUGGCUGUUCUUUACCCCAGAAUUGCUUUUCUGGUUCUCUGUUUAGGAGGACUAUAGAUUUCUUCACCAGCACCCUGUAACCCUGCAUGCUAUGUCCAAAGAUUAAAAAUCAUGAAAACAGACAACAGUUCUAUCUAAUUCCCCUUCUUCAAGAUGAUUCCUUUGUUAGAUUCUAAUUACUUGUGUUCAGUGCUUUCAAAUGCUGCUUUUUGUGUUAUAUCCAGACAUAAUUUUUUCUAGUAGCAUUGUUGGUCAGUAGGAUCAUACUUGGUCAUUACAUAAAGCAAAAGUCUCCUUUCAUUUUCCUUUAAUGCUUGUUUUCAGUUUCAGGAGGCCUUAACCUUGAGAGUUCCUAUUAGUUUGUCAAAGUAUUUCUUUCAUUCAGCAAACAAGAUGGUCCUUCACUAUUUUCAAAGAGUAUUUGGUUCUUUUCAGUUAUUUCCACAUUUGUUUAUGAACAAAUAACUUUUCUACAGCACUGAGGGUUCUGGAUAGUUCUUGCUGCAUUUUAUUCACUAAGAAACAAUUGUCAAGAGGAUUUAGGAAACUAAAAGAGGUUGUGCUUUAGCGAUAUAAUUUAAAAAAUAACAGUAGCUUCAAGAAAGUAUAUUUCUGUGGUAACCUGCAAACAGUACUUGACUGAAAAAUCAAUAGAUUUGGGUCCCAGGUCUAGCACCCCCAACUUGCUUACUAUGUUUGUACUGCUGUUUCCUCAUCAUUAGAAACGUCCACCUCAACUCAACAGACAGCAGUGAGCUUUCAACCAUGUAGGAAAAGUCUUUAAGAUAUCAUGGAUCUGCUGAAAAGUCAUUCUUUCCAAGUCUUAAUAUUGAAAUCUACUGAACGUUAACAUAAUCAGUGUUCUGUUCUUCCCCCAAACUUAAAUUCAACACUAUAUUCAAAGAGCUUGUUUAUGAUAAUGGUGCUUAUCUCACAAGUUUACAAUGGUUAUUGCUCAAAUGUUGUUAUUAUUGGCAAACUUGUAAAAACUGUUUUUAUGAUCCUUUAGGGUAUCUACUCCAUCUAUUAUAUUCUAACUUUUAUAGUUUCUCUAUUAUCCUGGGUCCUAUGGGUAAUUAUGCCUUUUUGGCACUGUAAGAACUUUAGACUAAAUCUACUUGAAGCCAACAAGCUGCAUUAGAAAAGAAACACCAUUUAGAAGUCAAGACGUCUGGCACUGUGGAGAUUAGAAGUGUUUGGAAAAUUGAUUUCAAUCAGUUCAUUGUGAAUUGGUAGCUGAUCACACUCAUUUCUAGAUCACUGAAGAGCAUUCUAAGUGAGCUCAUUGGCAUUAAAAUAUGAAUGUGGGAUCGCAGCUAGCAAAUUUAAGAAGGAAGCCACCACCCCAACUGUGGGAAGCCCAUUCCUCUCAAUGAUUUCAUAGUCAUCUGUCCUUCCCAAGCUCACCAGUACACACUCAGUAUCUCCCUUACAUUCUGGUAAUCACCAGACUUCUGAAACCAAAAGAGUUACUUGCUACAUAAGAAGCAGGCAAGCCAUAGUACAGACCAUUGCUGUCCUAUAGAAACAGAAUGUGAGCCACACAUAUAAUUUAAAUGUUCUAGAAGCUACAUUUUAAAAAGAAAAAUAAAAAGUAAUUUCAAGAACACAUUUAAUCCAAUAUAUUUAAAAUGUUACCAGUUUACAAAAUCUAUAUUGAAAUUAAUGAAAUAUAUAUUUUGUAUUCCUCUUAUCAUGCCAAGUCUUCAAAAUCUAGUUUAUUUUAUCCUUACUAUUCAUUCUAGCCACAUUCCAAUUACUCUAUAGACACAUAGGGCUGGGGCUACUGUAUUAGAUAGCACAGAGCCUAAUACUUUUUUGGGGGGGUGGCCACAUAUUCAUUUUUUUGUUUUCGUCUAAUGUUGCCCAACUAUAAACACAAGGAAACCAUUAUCUACCAUAUUGUUCCAGAGGUUAAAAAUGAGUACAAACCUGGCAGAAUUUCAGACCCAAUACUCUUCUUUUCCCUGAGUAGAAGGGACACCACCAGGGAAACAGUUCUUUAGGAUACAACUUUUAAUUGUGUCGUGUCUUUACUUGGAAACAGAGCUCCUUAAAUUCAGGAGUCCAUAUACCAUGAUUGACAAAAAACAGACUUACGUCACAGCUUCAAAAACACAGCAUCACUUUUUCUUGGGUACCAAAUAUUGUUUAGAGGAAGAGCACAGAGAAAACCUUGAGCAAUUAUCAAAGUGCUAUCUUCUCACUAUAUAGAAUGGGCCCCCAGAGAUAGAAAAUUCACCCAAAUUCAUACAGCGAGUUGACAGCAGAUCCGGGGUGGUAAUCUACAUUGGCAGUUUUGUACCUUGUGUUCAGUAAGUUGAAUGUCACACAGUCAAGCCUAUUACUAUUGCACAAAGUCACUCGGCUAUUUCCACACAUUACUCCUAUGUGAGCUCUUAGCAAUACAUAUCUUUGGGAUGAGCAAGCACAAAUGACUUCCAAAAUGCAAGAACUGCAGACUAGUUCUGAAGUAGAGGAAUGAGCCCUAAGGUAUUAGCAGUCUUGCAGAUCAUAUACAACUUGGGAAUCAGAGGGUAAAUAUGAGUUUGGGUUCUAGCUCCGGUAAAAACCAGCAGUGUGACCUUGAACAAAUCUCUUAACCACUCCAUGACCCAAUCUCCUUAACUG